GCACUGCUGAGGAGUCCCACAACAGGGCGAAACAGCAAGUCUAGUGC
RNAcentral lists this non-coding RNA (47 nucleotides) under Schistosoma mansoni. Lineage: Eukaryota; Metazoa; Platyhelminthes; Trematoda; Strigeidida; Schistosomatidae. The record is from RNAcentral.